Molecule: RNA transcript, 2572 nt
Organism: Eriocheir sinensis (Chinese mitten crab)
Lineage: Eukaryota; Metazoa; Arthropoda; Malacostraca; Decapoda; Varunidae
Gene name: mitochondrial-processing peptidase subunit alpha-like
Exons: 14
Source: RefSeq, a predicted model, not a curated record
AUACAAUGUGUUGUGUACGAUAAUCUGGGGAACCCCCGCCACACGGCACCACUCACAUGUCCGCCGCGGCAGUGCUCGCCGCCCGCCGCCCCGCCGACGCCGGACACAUGUUUUCCUCGCGCCUCUCCCGCUCGGCGCUAAGGCAAGGAUCCAAUGUAUUGGUGCGGUUUUGUUCAGGAGGGGAGGCAGGGUCCCAAGGGAAGGCCCCCAUCACUAAGAUACCCCUGAGUGAGUCUGUAUCCUGGCUGCCCAAACCUGUCUACGCUUCACCUGCAGAUAUUGACCAUGAAACGAGAGUCACAACACUGGAAAAUGGACUGCGUGUGGCCUCUGAGCCAAAGUUUGGAAACUUUUGUACAGUUGGAGUUGCAAUUGAUAGCGGCAGCAGAUUUGAGGUGGCCUUCCCAAGUGGAAUAUCACAUUUCCUGGAAAAGUUAGCUUAUAGGAAUUCACAAAAUAUGACAAGAGAGAAAAUUAUGGGAACAUUUGAAAAGCUUGGUGGCAUCUGUGAUUGCCAGUCUUCACGGGACACACUGAUAUAUGCAACUUCAGUGGAAGCAAGAGGAAUGCCAGAAGCUGUCAAGAUAUUAUCUGAAGUAAUUUUAAGGCCCAAGCUUGAGCAAGAGGAGAUAACAGAUGCAAGAAUGGCUGUGACAUUUGAUUUGGAAGACUUACAGCUGCGACCUGAGAAAGAUGUCCUGCUCACUGAAAUGAUUCAUGCUGCUGCAUUUAGAGACAACACUCUUGGUCUUCCCAAAAUCUGUCCUCUGGAGAACAUAACAAAAAUUGACCGAUCAACUCUGUUCACCUACCUGAAACACCACCACACUCCAAAGCGCAUGGUGCUGGCUGGCGUGGGAGUGGAACACGACGCUCUUGUUGAAUAUGCUCAGAAAUACUUUGUUGAAAUUCCUCCUAUUUGGGAAACAGACCAGAGUUUGGUCAAUGUCCACAGGAUUGCAGUUGACCAAUCUGUUGCUCAGUACACAGGAGGACUUGUCAAGGAAGAAGCUGAUCUUUCUGAUGUGUCGAUAGGCCCCAACCCACUGCCAGAACUUGCUCAUCUUGUUAUUGGGCUGGAAUCUGUGGGCCACCAGCAUAAAGACUUUGUCAGCCACUGUGUCCUCAACAUGAUGAUGGGAGGUGGUGGCAGCUUCAGCGCUGGAGGGCCUGGCAAGGGAAUGUACACACGUCUGUACACUAAUGUUCUCAAUAGAUUUCAUUGGAUACACAAUGCCACAGCCUACAACCACUCGUAUGAGGAUGCCGGCCUGUUCUGUAUCCAUGCCUCAGCUCACCCUUCUCAUCUCGGAGACCUCACUCAAAUCAUCACUAGGGAGCUCACAGCCAUGAAUGGCCGAAUGAGCAAGGAGGAACUAGAGCGUGCGAAGGUACAGCUACAGUCGAUGCUGCUGAUGAAUCUUGAGAGUCGACCUGUUGUAUUUGAGGACAUUGCUCGACAGGUUCUGGCCACUGGCAAGAGGCUGCAGCCGCAGCAUUUCAUAGAUCUGAUAAAGAAAGUGACGGACGAUGAUAUAAUGAAAAUUGCCGGGAAGAUGCUCCGCUCCAGGCCAUCAGUGGCUGCUCUUGGCACUCUUAAACGUCUUCCUAGGCUGCCAGACAUUAAUGGUGCUCUCCUCAGCGGGAAUGGAACAAUUUCGUCUCUAAGAAUCAUCAGUGGACAACCUAAGUGUGUGGUUCCUCACGCAACUUUGGUUGACUUGGUACUCUUUCUUAGAGGGACUCUGGCCACGGGUUUAAUUAUUAAAUACAGUAAAUGAGUUAUUCACAUCAGUUCAUCCACUGCCCAAAUGGAUAAAUAAAAAAUGUGGAUAACCUUGAAGAAGAUCUUUUGACUGGCAUGUCAUCACUGAAAUCAAGGAGUGCAUUCUGAAUUUGGUUGCUGAAGAGUACUCUGUGGUGAUGUCUACUUGCCAUGGUAAACAAUUAUGCAUGGCUGGGUGCAUCAUAGGGACGUGGAAGUGGAAUAUCAUGCCUUUAUUGAUGCGGUAAGCUGAAUGUUGUUGUUUUCCCUUUUUUGAAGGCUACUUAGGUGGUAGUUUUGUUAAUCCUUUAAAUUUAUUUUGGAAUUAAAAUUUUCGGUAGGGAUAUUGCCUCUGCAUUAAUUGGUUGCUGUCAUAAUGUAAGUUGUUUGAGCUGUGGUCAAAUAUAUAUGUUGUACAUAUUGUAUAUAUAUUUAUAUAAGUUAUUGUUAAGUUACUGUAUUUGGAAUUAAAUGUUUUAAAGUGGUGAAAAGUUCCUUAUCACUCAAAGCAUGAUGCUCUGUUGUUAUAAUGAACCCAUCUCUUAUGAAUGCCACAGCAGAAUGGAGGUCUCUCCCAAGCCAUUCCAUUUGUUUGUUGUGUUCCUCUAGUUUUCCUUAAAUUUUCAUGCCAUUUGUCAGUGGUCUCCCCUUGGGUCUCUUAAUAUUGGUUAUUUUCCAGUCUUUUGGUUCAUCAGCCGUCUUCUGUAUAGGUCCUGACCAUUGCCAUUUUUUUAUUUGAUUUUUUAAUUAAUUUUAAUUGUCCAUCUGUUGUAUUCUCUCCCACAUAUGAAUCCUGAUUGUUGCCAA